CCUCAGGUCCGCCGCCCACCGCUGUCAACACCUCGUCCGCCUCCUCCUCCUCCCUCCAAAGGGAAGGGUAUUGUCGUCCCACCGUCCAGCAUUUUGAAUUUGGCGGCAGUUCCGAGAGACAGGACCCAGCUCCAGUCAAAUCAACUUCUCUUGGGCCCCCAACUCCUUCAGAACCUCGGCGCGGAUCAGGACCCAGAUUUGAUUGAUGUGAAGUGGGAUGGGAGAAAUCUGUCGGUGGACAGAUCCCAGUGGAUGAGAUUUCUCAAGACUCAAGGCAUUGGCGCUUCUGGUACCCUAGCCGCCCGUAGGUCAGCGGCAGACGCUAGAUCCGGUGACCAUUCAUCCUCCAGCUCCCCCAGUCUGCCGCGCCUAGCUUGUCGGCAUCAGCGCCGCCUGGAUCUGAGCAUCUUGCAGCAGGGAGAAAGAAAAGAUCAGUAUCCAAAGCCAGAGUCAGGCGUGCUCUGGCCCACAAAGCAUUCAUCCGACACCUCUCUGCCUCGAGGUCCAUAUCCUCCUCAGCAAAGCAAAGGGCCUCCACCUCCAAGAAGUCGCUCCAGAUGAAGAAGCUCAUUCGUUCGGCUGGUCUCCAAGACAUUCUUGAAUCAAGCGCUGACAGCAACACUAUGCCCUGAUCUGCUGAUAGUAAUCUUGUUUCUGUAUAUGGAUAACAGUUUUGGUUAGUUCUAAUUUUCUUUUUCUUGGUUUUGGGCUUUAGUCGGUGGUUUUUUGUUUUUUAUCUUAAGACAUCUUCUAAUGAAUGGGCCUUUCUCUCCAUCUCCGAGUCGUUGCCUCAUUCAUGAGAAGAUAUCUUCUUUUGUAAUCCCAUCUUUUGGUUUCGUUUCUAUAUAAUGAUAGGGCAAUGCCCUAUUUUCUUUAAAAAAAAAGGAGCAAAUUCUGGUGAA
Molecule: long non-coding RNA, 902 nt
Organism: Asparagus officinalis (garden asparagus)
Lineage: Eukaryota; Viridiplantae; Streptophyta; Magnoliopsida; Asparagales; Asparagaceae
Exons: 2
Source: RefSeq, a predicted model, not a curated record